GGGCCCGCACAAGCGGCGGAGCAUGCGGCUUAAUUCGAUGCAACGCGAAGAACCUUACCUAGGCUUGACAGUUGGGGAAAUCUGGCAGAGAUGCCAGGUCCGUAAGGGCCCCAAAACAGGUGGUGCAUGGCUGUCGUCAGCUCGUGUCGUGAGAUGUUGGGUUAAGUCCCGCAACGAGCGCAACCCUCGUCGUAUGUUGCCAGCGGAUAAUGCCGGGGACUCAUACGAGACUGCCGGGGUCAACUCGGAGGAAGGUGGGGACGACGUCAAGUCAUCAUGCCCCUUAUGUCUAGGGCUGCACGCAUGCUACAAUGGCCGGUACAGAGGGCUGCGAAACCGCAAGGUAGAGCGAAUCCCAAAAAGCCGGUCUCAGUUCGGAUUGGGGUCUGCAACUCGACCCCAUGAAGUCGGAGUCGCUAGUAA
RNAcentral lists this ribosomal RNA (423 nucleotides) under uncultured bacterium. RNAcentral's name for it is "bacterial SSU rRNA". It matches the Rfam family "Bacterial small subunit ribosomal RNA", at positions 917 to 1341 of the family's 1533-position model. The record is from RNAcentral.